UAAGAGCUAAUUGAGAGUCUACAAAUCG
Molecule: non-coding RNA, 28 nt
Filed under: Bombyx mori (domestic silkworm)
Lineage: Eukaryota; Metazoa; Arthropoda; Insecta; Lepidoptera; Bombycidae
Source: RNAcentral